ACCAGGCAUGGUGAUACAUGCCUGUAAUCCUUGCUCCCCGGGAAGGCUGAGGCUGCUGGAUCACUUGAGCUUGGGAAUUUUGAGCUGAAAUGGAGGAUAAAGCUAACUGGGUGUCUGUAAGUCCAGUAGCAGUAUGGUGAACUACUGGAAGGGGAGCAGAGUUCCAGGCUGUCUAAGGAAGAGCAAAUCAGCCCAGGUGGGAAAUUGAGCAGUACAAAGCUUCCAAGAUGUCAGCAGUAGGAUGAGGCCUAUGAAUGGCCUCAGUACUUCUAGCCUGGGUGAACUAGGUAGACCCAGUCUCUG
This 303-nucleotide signal recognition particle RNA is filed under the name Vombatus ursinus (common wombat). RNAcentral describes it as "Metazoan signal recognition particle RNA (ENSVURG00010001043.1)". It matches the Rfam family "Metazoan signal recognition particle RNA". From Rfam's summary of the family: The signal recognition particle (SRP) is a universally conserved ribonucleoprotein. It is involved in the co-translational targeting of proteins to membranes. Lineage: Eukaryota; Metazoa; Chordata; Mammalia; Diprotodontia; Vombatidae. The record is from Rfam by way of RNAcentral.